CAAUAGCGUAUAUUAAAGUUGUUGCAGUUAAAACGCUCGUAGUUGAACUUUGAGCUUCGUAGGCAGUACACUAAGGUGUUGCUGCAAAUUCCUCGUUGGACGCUUAGGCGAAAGACAGGAUAACGAGGCUCUAUAUUCUUUCCUGGUCUUGCGAUUAGGAGGGAAGCAUUACUUUGAGAAAAAUAGAGUGUUCAAAGCAGGCAUUUGCUUGAAUAAAUUAGCAUGGAAUAAUAAAAUAGGACGUAUGGUUGCUAUUUUAUUGGUUUAGUGACCGACGUAAUGAUUAAUAGGGACAGUUGGGGGCGAUUAGUAUUCAGUUGUCAGAGGUGAAAUUCUUGGAUUUACUGAAGACUAACUACUGCGAAAGCAUUUGCCAAGGAUGUUUUCAUUAAUCAAGAACGAAAGUUAAGGGAUCGAAGACGAUCAGAUACCGU
This 434-nucleotide ribosomal RNA is filed under the name uncultured eukaryote. Its description in RNAcentral is "bacterial SSU rRNA". It matches the Rfam family "Eukaryotic small subunit ribosomal RNA", at positions 592 to 1018 of the family's 1831-position model. The record is from RNAcentral.